AGCAGCAUGGCGCAGUGGCAGCGCGCGGGGCCCAUACACUGGUCACCCCGAGGUCACUCGAUCGAAACGAGUUGCUGCUA
Non-coding RNA from Crassisporium funariophilum, 80 nucleotides. The record is from the annotation of a GenBank genome assembly. NCBI's taxonomy places the organism in Eukaryota, Fungi, Basidiomycota, Agaricomycetes, Agaricales, Crassisporiaceae.